CACGUAGGGUGCGAGCGUUGUCCGGAAUUAUUGGGCGUAAAGAGCUCGUAGGCGGUGUGUCGCGUCGGCCGUGAAAACCUGCAGCUUAACUGUGGGCUUGCGGUCGAUACGGGCAAACUAGAGUGCGGUAGGGGAGACUGGAAUUCCUGGUGUAGCGGUGAAAUGCGCAGAUAUCAGGAGGAACACCGGCGGCGAAGGCGGGUCUCUGGGCCGUAACUGACGCUGAGGAGCGAAAGCGUGGGGAGCGAACAGG
RNAcentral lists this ribosomal RNA (253 nucleotides) under uncultured bacterium. RNAcentral's name for it is "partial 16S ribosomal RNA". It matches the Rfam family "Bacterial small subunit ribosomal RNA", at positions 524 to 776 of the family's 1533-position model. The record is from RNAcentral.